RNAcentral lists this ribosomal RNA (253 nucleotides) under uncultured bacterium. RNAcentral's name for it is "partial 16S ribosomal RNA". It matches the Rfam family "Bacterial small subunit ribosomal RNA", at positions 524 to 776 of the family's 1533-position model. The record is from RNAcentral.
UACAGAGGUCUCAAGCGUUGUUCGGAUUCAUUGGGCGUAAAGGGUGCGUAGGCGGCGCGGUAAGUCGGGUGUGAAAUUUCGAGGCUUAACUUCGAAACUGCAUUCGAUACUGCCGUGCUUGAGGACUGGAGAGGAGACUGGAAUUUACGGUGUAGCGGUGAAAUGCGUAGAUAUCGUAAGGAAGACCAGUGGCGAAGGCGGGUCUCUGGACAGUUCCUGACGCUGAGGCACGAAGGCCAGGGGAGCAAACAGG